This 2206-nucleotide long non-coding RNA is filed under the name Marmota monax (woodchuck). The record is from RNAcentral. Lineage: Eukaryota; Metazoa; Chordata; Mammalia; Rodentia; Sciuridae.
CCACGCCGCCGCAAGCCUCUCGCCACGCCCCGCGGCCCCGCCUGAAGGCGGUGGGCUGCGAGGUUGUUUCCGACCAGGUCUUGGGAGCGACCUGACCCUGGGACUACGGUUACUGCGUGUACCUCUCAUAGGCUGCAGAGAACACUCAGGUCGAGAACGCUCUCGAAUGUCUUACCCUCCCUUGAUCCAUUCCCUUGCAUCUGUUCCCUUGCCUCUGUUCCCUUCCCCGAUAUCUCGACCCCCGCCCUUGCCCCUGUGCCACCCACCGACAGAGAGACGCCUGCGCCCCCCCCCCCCCCCCCCACCACUGCGAUCGGUUCCCGUGUCGCUUCCCCAGGACCUGGACUCCUUUCAUGCCUGCGUCCUGCGACCCCUUCCCAACCCUGCCCAUCGGGACCGCGACCCCUAACCUAGAUCCUCGCGCCUUUGGCGACGGCGACUUUGGCCCAAAGUCCCCUCUCCCCGCCCCCAGCGAGGCCCUGGGUCUGGAAGACAGGCUUUUGCAAGUGCGGAAUGUGGAGGAGGGGUGGGAACUGAGAAACCGAAGGUGUUUACAGUAGCUCCUGAGCGGGGUCCACGAAAACUCCGUGCGAUUUCAACGAGAAUGGAAAGACUCUAGACUCGAGUAGCAAAUGUCUUCCAAAACAAGAAUGUCUUACCCUCCCUUGAUCAAUUUUAGUGGGGGGCGGGGGGGCGGGGCACAAAGCAUUCCCUUUUAAGCUUAUUGCCUGGUUUUCUGUAUCCUUGCUCUUGAUGAUAUAUAUCAUAUGUGAAUUAUUCCAAAUUUUGGGGCCCGCCUCCCCCGUCCCCAUUAAAAAGGCGUUAGGCUAACGGAAUGUGACUUAGUACCAGAGUGCUUGCCUAGCCAAGGGUUUUACCACAGUGGAGGGAGACUAUUCUGGGUCUGAGCCUUGGGUUCUGCCCCUAGCAUGCUGGAGGACUGGGGCUGUUGUGGGUCUGGGUCUGGGUAUGUGUAUUCGUGGUCUUUGUGUACCUGGGCUGCUUGUUCGUUCCUAUCCAUGAUGUUCAAAUUCUGACAGUUCUACAUUUUGGAAGAAAGCCUCCUGGACUCCUCCCCCUUAUACUGGGUAUAUGUGUAAUGCCAUCCUUAUCAGUGUCUUCUCCUUUGUAAUACCUGUCACAUCCGAAAAAAAUCGCAAAUUAAAUAUUCAUAGCUAUAUUUUUACAGAUAAUAAUCACCUAAGAUUGAGUUUUCCUCUAAUAUUUAAAGCAUAUAUGAUAAUUCAGGAGAAAAAAAUGAAUUAAAACAUUUCUCCUUCUCCCUAGUAGGUUUGCCUUCUGGUUACUGUCCAUCAUUCAUAGUGCCAACAAGCAUUUCCUUAAAAAAUUUUGUCACCAUCUUUUCAUUAAAGGCCUUCACUGGAUCCUUGUUUUUUUUUUUCCCCCUACAAGGAAAACCAACUCUCUUUCAUGGAAAGAAGUCCCUUCACAAACUAGUCCUAGCCUGUCUUCCUUCAGCCCAGUCACUUACCUUUCGUACCUUGUGGGGUUAGACACCAUAACUUUUCGAUCACUUUCAUGUACCAAACAUGUUUUAAGACAUUGGGUGAGUUGCUAGGGCUACUCUGGAAUGUAGCACAAGCUUUGCACUGAAGACUGAAAAGCAAAUCAACAGAUUUGUGAUAAGUCCUAUGAAAACAAAACACAAGGCUGGUGAUGUGGCUCAGUAGUAGAGUGCUUGCCUCACAUGCUCCAGAGCCCUGGGUUCAAUCCCUAGCACUGCAUUGAGAGGAAAGAAUUUGUUUUUAAAUGUGUGAUGCUUUCAUGAGCCCCUAGGUUCUAAAGAAUGCAAUUUCCCUUGCCAUAAGUAUUCCCUACUUUGGUCAAAUCUUGUUUAUUCUUCAAAUAAUAGCUCAAAAGUCAAACAUUUAAAUCUAUUCUCUGUCGAUGGUUGAUUUUCCUUCUGUGUCCUCUUUGUGCUUCAUUCAUAGCUCUAUUAAAGCUUUAUUACACUCUAAUUUUCAAUUGACAUGUGACUAUCACUCCAAUAAAAUGAUCAGUUUCCCCGGGGCCAGAUGCAGCUCAGUGAUCUCUGUAACACUAUAGGUGGCACAUAGUACCUGUUGAAUGAAUGAAUGUUGGUUUAACCAAUGAGAAAAGCAAGACAUUCCCUUUUAAAGGCCAGUGUUUCAGUUGCUGAGAACGUUUUUUUCAUUCUCCCUGUAUUUUCUGUGAAAAAAUAAAC